Molecule: ribosomal RNA, 377 nt
Filed under: uncultured cyanobacterium
Lineage: Bacteria; Bacillati; Cyanobacteriota
Description: bacterial SSU rRNA
Rfam family: Bacterial small subunit ribosomal RNA
Source: RNAcentral
CGCAAGCCUGACGGAGCAAGACCGCGUGCGGGAUGACGGCCUAAUGGUUGUAAACCGCUUUUCUCUGGGAAGAUGAUGACGGUACCAGAGGAAUCAGCCUCGGCUAACUCCGUGCCAGCAGCCGCGGUAAUACGGAGGAGGCAGGCGUUAUCCGGAAUUAUUGGGCGUAAAGCGUCCGUAGGUGGUUAUUCAAGUCUGCUGUCAAAGCGUGGGGCUUAACUCCAUAGAGGCAGUGGAAACUGGAUGACUUGAGUGCGGUAGGGGUCGAGGGAAUUCCCAGUGUAGCGGUGAAAUGCGUAGAUAUUGGGAAGAACACCAGUGGCGAAAGCGCUCGACUGGGCCUGCACUGACACUGAGGGACGAAAGCUAGGGGAGCG